GAUCCGUAACUUCGGGAAAAUGAUUGGCUCUGAGGACUGGGCUCGGGGGUCCCGGCCCCGAACCCGUUGGCUGUCGGCGGAUUGCUCGAGCUGCUCACGCGGCGAGAGCGGGUCGCCGCGUGCCGAUGGGGGGACGGAUCGGGAAUCGCCCCUUCGGGGGCUUUCCCCGAGCAUGGAACAGUCGACUCAAAACUGGUGGAC
Molecule: non-coding RNA, 201 nt
Filed under: Triticum aestivum (bread wheat)
Lineage: Eukaryota; Viridiplantae; Streptophyta; Magnoliopsida; Poales; Poaceae
Description: Eukaryotic large subunit ribosomal RNA
Rfam family: Eukaryotic large subunit ribosomal RNA
Source: Rfam by way of RNAcentral